RNAcentral lists this microRNA (22 nucleotides) under Drosophila virilis. RNAcentral's name for it is "dvi-miR-iab-8-3p". Its record names the gene dvi-miR-iab-8-3p. The record is from miRBase by way of RNAcentral. Lineage: Eukaryota; Metazoa; Arthropoda; Insecta; Diptera; Drosophilidae.
UCAGGAUACAUUCAGUAUACGU